AACGAACGCUGGCGGCAGGCCUAACACAUGCAAGUCGAGCGCCCCGCAAGGGGAGCGGCGCACGGGUGAGUAACACGUGGGAACGUGCCUUUCAGUUCGGAACAACUCAGGGAAACUUGAGCUAAUGCCGGAUACGCCCUUCGGGGGAAAGAUUUAUCGCUGAAAGAUCGGCCCGCGUUGGAUUAGCUAGUUGGUGAGGUAACGGCUCACCAAGGCGACGAUCCAUAGCUGAUCUGAGAGGAUGAUCAGCCACACUGGGACUGAGACACGGCCCAGACUCCUACGGGAGGCAGCAGUGGGGAAUCUUGGACAAUGGGCGCAAGCCUGAUCCAGCCAUGCCGCGUGAGUGAUGAAGGUCUUCGGAUUGUAAAACUCUUUCGUCAGGGACGAUAAUGACUGUACCUGAAGAAGAAGCCCCGGCUAACUUCGUG
This 431-nucleotide ribosomal RNA is filed under the name uncultured organism. RNAcentral's name for it is "bacterial SSU rRNA". It matches the Rfam family "Bacterial small subunit ribosomal RNA", at positions 29 to 507 of the family's 1533-position model. The record is from RNAcentral.